Molecule: ribosomal RNA, 487 nt
Filed under: uncultured bacterium
Lineage: Bacteria
Description: bacterial SSU rRNA
Rfam family: Bacterial small subunit ribosomal RNA
Source: RNAcentral
UGGCGGCGUGCCUAACACAUGCAAGUCGAACGGGGUAAGUGAAAUUUCGGAUGGAGCUUAACUUAGUGGCGGACGGGUGAGUAACGCGUGGAUAACCUGCCUCACACUGGGGGAUAGCAGCUGGAAACGGCUGGUAAUACCGCAUAAGACCACAGCACCGCAUGGUGCAGGGGUAAAAGAUUUAUCGGUGUGAGAUGGAUCCGCGUCUGAUUAGCCAGUUGGCGGGGUAACGGCCCACCAAAGCGACGAUCAGUAGCCGGCCUGAGAGGGUGAACGGCCACAUUGGGACUGAGACACGGCCCAAACUCCUACGGGAGGCAGCAGUGGGGAAUAUUGCACAAUGGGCGCAAGCCUGAUGCAGCAACGCCCGCGUGAGUGAAGAAGUAUUUCGGUAUGUAAAGCUCUAUCGGCAGGGAAGAAAGGCCCUUAACAGGGAGAUGACGGUACCUGACUAAGAAGCCCCGGCUAACUACGUGCCAGCCGCCGC